RNAcentral lists this ribosomal RNA (253 nucleotides) under uncultured bacterium. RNAcentral's name for it is "partial 16S ribosomal RNA". It matches the Rfam family "Bacterial small subunit ribosomal RNA", at positions 524 to 776 of the family's 1533-position model. The record is from RNAcentral.
UACGUAGGUGGCAAGCGUUGUCCGGAUUUACUGGGCGUAAAGAGCGCGCAGGCGGUCGUUCAAGUCGCGUGUGAAAGCCCCCGGCUCAACUGGGGAGGGUCACGCGAUACUGAUCGACUGGAAGGCAGGAGAGGGUAGUGGAAUUCCCGGUGUAGUGGUGAAAUGCGUAGAUAUCGUUUGGAACGCCAAUGGUGAAAACAGGUUGCUGGGAGUGUGCUGACGCUGAGACACGAAAGCCAGGGGAGCAAACGGG